UUUAAAAAUGGUGAUUCAUAGUAAGGUUGGAAAUCGUAUGGGGAGCAAUCCUGACGAUGUAUCAUUCAAAUUUCUGCCCUAUCAACUUUGGAUGGUAGUAUAGAGGACUACCAUGGUGAUAACGGGUAACGGAGAAUUAGGGGUUUGAUUCCGGAGAGGGAGCCUGAGAAAUGGCUACCACUUCUAAGGAGGGCAGCAGGCGCGCAAAAUUACCCCAAUCCCUAAAUACAGGGGAGGUAGUGACAAUAAAUAACAAUGUAGGAAUGAUAAAUUUUACAAUUGGAAUGAGAACAAUUAAACCCCUUAACGAGUAACAAUUAGAGGGCAAGUCUGGUGCCAGCAGCCGCGGUAAUUCCAGCUCUAAUAGCGUAUAUUAAAGUUGUUGCAGUUAAAAAGCUCGUAGUUGGAUUUUAGUGGGUUAUUUUAGAUAAUUGGUCGGAUAGGAAACUAUUACUUGUACUAGUUAUCUACCCACUUUUACUUACUGGUUACUCGACUCUGUAC
Molecule: ribosomal RNA, 504 nt
Filed under: uncultured eukaryote
Lineage: Eukaryota
Description: bacterial SSU rRNA
Rfam family: Eukaryotic small subunit ribosomal RNA
Source: RNAcentral